UAGGGAAUCUUCCGCAAUGGACGAAAGUCUGACGGAGCAACGCCGCGUGAGUGAUGAAGGCUUUCGGGUCGUAAAACUCUGUUGUUAGGGAAGAACAAGUGCUAGUUGAAUAAGCUGGCACCUUGACGGUACCUAACCAGAAAGCCACGGCUAACUACGUGCCAGCAGCCGCGGUAAUACGUAGGUGGCAAGCGUUAUCCGGAAUUAUUGGGCGUAAAGCGCGCGCAGGUGGUUUCUUAAGUCUGAUGUGAAAGCCCACGGCUCAACCGUGGAGGGUCAUUGGAACUGGGAGACUUGAGUGCAGAAGAGGAAAGUGGAAUUCCAUGUGUAGCGGUGAAAUGCGUAGAGAUAUGGAGGAACACCAGUGGCGAAGGCGACUUUCUGGUCUGUAACUGACACUGAGGCGCGAAAGCGUGGGGAGCAACAGGAUUAGAUACCCUGGUAGUCCACGCCGUAAACGAUGAGUGCUAAGUGUUAGAGGGUUUCCG
This 488-nucleotide ribosomal RNA is filed under the name uncultured Bacillota bacterium. RNAcentral's name for it is "bacterial SSU rRNA". It matches the Rfam family "Bacterial small subunit ribosomal RNA", at positions 355 to 836 of the family's 1533-position model. Lineage: Bacteria; Bacillati; Bacillota. The record is from RNAcentral.